This 856-nucleotide ribosomal RNA is filed under the name Massilia sp. 16R-8. RNAcentral's name for it is "bacterial SSU rRNA". It matches the Rfam family "Bacterial small subunit ribosomal RNA", at positions 170 to 1023 of the family's 1533-position model. The record is from RNAcentral. Lineage: Bacteria; Pseudomonadati; Pseudomonadota; Betaproteobacteria; Burkholderiales; Oxalobacteraceae.
CGCAUACGAUCUAUGGAUGAAAGUGGGGGACCGCAAGGCCUCACGCUCAUGGAGCGGCCGAUAUCUGAUUAGCUAGUUGGUGAGGUAAAGGCUCACCAAGGCGACGAUCAGUAGCUGGUCUGAGAGGACGACCAGCCACACUGGAACUGAGACACGGUCCAGACUCCUACGGGAGGCAGCAGUGGGGAAUUUUGGACAAUGGGCGCAAGCCUGAUCCAGCAAUGCCGCGUGAGUGAAGAAGGCCUUCGGGUUGUAAAGCUCUUUUGUCAGGGAAGAAACGGCUGCGGCUAAUAUCCGCGGCUAAUGACGGUACCUGAAGAAUAAGCACCGGCUAACUACGUGCCAGCAGCCGCGGUAAUACGUAGGGUGCAAGCGUUAAUCGGAAUUACUGGGCGUAAAGCGUGCGCAGGCGGUUUUGUAAGUCUGACGUGAAAUCCCCGGGCUCAACCUGGGAAUUGCGUUGGAGACUGCAAAGCUGGAGUCUGGCAGAGGGGGGUAGAAUUCCACGUGUAGCAGUGAAAUGCGUAGAGAUGUGGAGGAACACCGAUGGCGAAGGCAGCCCCCUGGGCCAAGACUGACGCUCAUGCACGAAAGCGUGGGGAGCAAACAGGAUUAGAUACCCUGGUAGUCCACGCCCUAAACGAUGUCUACUAGUUGUCGGGUCUUAAUUGACUUGGUAACGCAGCUAACGCGUGAAGUAGACCGCCUGGGGAGUACGGUCGCAAGAUUAAACUCAAAGGAAUUGACGGGGACCCGCACAAGCGGUGGAUGAUGUGGAUUAAUUCGAUGCAACGCGAAAAACCUUACCUACCCUUGACAUGCCAGGAACCUCCGAAAGAUUGGANGGUGCCCGAAA